This 400-nucleotide unclassified non-coding RNA is filed under the name soil metagenome. RNAcentral describes it as "partial contains 5.8S ribosomal RNA, internal transcribed spacer 2, and large subunit ribosomal RNA". The stretch from base 1 to 122 matches the Rfam family "5.8S ribosomal RNA", at positions 35 to 154 of the family's 154-position model. The record is from RNAcentral.
GAUGAAGAAAGCAGCGAAAUGCGAUACUUCGUGUGAAUUGCAGAAUCCCGUGAACCAUCGAGUCUUUGAACGCAAGUUGCGCCUCAAGCCAUUAGGUUGAGGGCACGUCUGCCUAGGCGUCACAUAUCGUUGCCUGAUGCCAGUUUCCUCGUGAUGGGUGACUGUGCAGGGCGAAUGAUGGCUUCCCGUGAGCAUUGUUGCCUCAUGGUUGGUUGAAAAUUGAGUCCUUGGUAGGGAGCGCCGUGAUAGAUGGUGGUUGAGUGACGAACGAGACCCAAUCAUGUGAGACCCCUACCGAAUUUGGCCUUCAUGACCCACAUGCGUCUUUGGAACGCUCAUGACGAGACCUCAGGUCAGGCGGGGCUACCCGCUGAGUUUAAGCAUAUCAAUAAGCGGAGGA